CAAAUCUGCAUACAUAUCAUUUACCAGUAUCAUCAUCCAUUAUAUCUAUGAUGAAAUUGGUGCGUAGAUGAUCUUUACAUAUACAAUUGUCAAGAUGGUUAUUAUAGAGGUGAGAAAAUAUUUCUCUUCCAAAAAUUCUAUAACAAUCAAAGAGUAAAGAUUUUUUAGGAGGUGGGUGGUGAUUAACUAUAGAUUUUUCACUUUGCCUGGCACAAACUUAUUUUAUGGCUGGUUAAGAGCAUGGCUGGUUAAGAGCAUGGCCAACGAGAUAAUUUAGUUUUGGAAUUCUAAGAAAAAAAAAAAAUAUAUAUAUAUAUAUA
Molecule: long non-coding RNA, 320 nt
Filed under: Brassica napus (rape)
Lineage: Eukaryota; Viridiplantae; Streptophyta; Magnoliopsida; Brassicales; Brassicaceae
Description: long non-coding RNA (BNAP_LNC025576)
Source: RNAcentral